Long non-coding RNA from Aedes albopictus (Asian tiger mosquito), 1726 nucleotides. RefSeq lists it as uncharacterized. Lineage: Eukaryota; Metazoa; Arthropoda; Insecta; Diptera; Culicidae. The transcript is spliced from 3 exons. The record is from RefSeq and is a predicted model, not a curated record.
GUUUUGCGUUUUUUAGUUAAAAUCGAAAAGAAAAAUAAAUAAAUAGACUAAAAGUUAUUUAAAUUUUUGUUUUAUAUUUACGUUAACGAUAAUGAAAUAUUUCAUUUGUUUGUAAAAUCGGUCCAUGCCUGUUACUUAUGCUCGUGUAUGUCAUAGUAUGUGUUAAAGCUUUCGUGUUAUUAGCGCUUUUAUAGCAUGAUGCGCAUGGCGCUUACAUACUUUUUGGCGGAUUACAGUCGCGCUGCAAUUUUGUCGCCAUGCAUGAAAAUCGCCAUGCCGAAUUAGUUGGCGCGAUUUGGAAUAAUAGUUAGCAAUUUCAAUACAUAGUGGGACUUUUGAAAAGCGGCACAGUUUCGAGGCGCAAGUAAUAUUCUGACUCGGUCAUUUCGCUACGAGUACGGCUGGCAAGCAGAAGUGCGCGAGUUGAGUCUAAUCCAAUCUAAAGUUUCAGUUGAGUUGAGUUUGAGAUUACUUUGAGUUGAAGUCGAUUAAGUUAAUUACGGUGUAAAUUGAAUUUCUAGUAGAAGUGGACCGAGGUCCGAUAUUUCGCGGUUUCUGCUGAUUUUUAUUGCAUUACGGAACUAACUACGAAAAAAGCGCCCAGCGCUUUUUUCGUACGGCUGGUUUUUGUGAGUUUCAUUCGGCAAUCGUCAUCGCCGAAUCGGGGAACUUCUGGUGGAGUGUACCGCCAUUUCCGUUUGGAUCAACGCGACCCGUGUGCCCAGCGAAGGCCCGCCUCCAGUAGGCAGUUAAACGGAGGCGUGAGUGAAGUCGCUCGUCCAUUAUCGUAGCGAGGUUCUCCCGUCGGUCGCCAAAAGCCGAAGGUAAGGUCCCGUCCGUCAAUCCCCGUGGACCGGAGUACGAGAGGCGAUUCGCUGAAGCGUGUCGUCAAUAGCACGCCACGAAUCCGAUCCAAUUCCGGAAAGUAGGAAACGUACUAUUCCCCGCUCGGUCAUAGCUGGAAUCUAAGUACGCGAAGCCGGGUCGCUGGGCUCUUUAGUGCCUUCCUAUUGACCGGAGGAGGAUCCUCCCGGGUACAAGCGGUUUCCGCCGUUUCCCUCUCGAGUAGACAACCGGAAGCUUCCAACCAGCCGCCACUCCCUCCGCACCGGUAAUUCGGCCAUACCGCACACGGGUCCUUCGUCAUCGCUGCGCGCCAAAUCGCAGCACGGUCACGCCGGCGAACACCAUUUCUGACCGCCAUCUCCGAACGUCGAAGUCGUCGCCAUCUUCGAGCUACGUCCCCCGUCACCGAGCAUCGUAUCGUCGAAAAACCUGCGCAGGUACGUGAAGAGCUUUUUUGUACAUGGCCAUGUUUGCUCUUUCCCAUCCCGUAUGAAUAUCUUCCGUCCAACACGAAUGAAUUCCUAGAAUAAAUAGUAGAAAGUUUGAAAUUUCGUUUAGUUCCGUUACGUUUCACAUCGCUUAAUUGAAUAAACAUACUCACUACCUUCCGUUACGUUUUAGUUCCGUUACUUCGCUCGGAUGAGUAAGAAUCCCUUCGGUUUUCCCUAAGUAUCUUUUAGCCUGUGAAAGAGUUGGAGUUAAAUUUGCGUUCGAAGAAAUUCUGCCGUUUACCAAGAACCGUUCAAAACCGUCCCUGAGUGAAAUAGUCUCUUGCAAAGUCGGGCAAAUUUCAACACGACCGGUGGUCUCUCUUUGAGAGUGGCGCUUAAGCCACCGUGCUUUAACCAAAUCCUCAAGAAUAGUUUACGAACGGUUACAA